AUUGAACGCUGGCGGAAUGCUUUACACAUGCAAGUCGAACGGCAGCAUAGGUGCUUGCACCUGAUGGCGAGUGGCGAACGGGUGAGUAAUACAUCGGAACGUGCCCAGUCGUGGGGGAUAACGUAGCGAAAGUUACGCUAAUACCGCAUACGAUCUAAGGAUGAAAGCGGGGGACCGUAAGGCCUCGCGCGAUUGGAGCGGCCGAGGUCAGAUUAGGUAGUUGGGGAGGUAAAGGCUCACCAAGCCGACGAUCUGUAGCUGGUCUGAGAGGACGACCAGCCACACUGGGACUGAGACACGGCCCAGACUCCUACGGGAGGCAGCAGUGGGGAAUUUUGGACAAUGGACGCAAGUCUGAUCCAGCCAUUCCGCGUGCAGGACAAGGCCUUCGGGUUGUAAACUGCUUUUGUACGGAACGAAAAAGCUCUUACUAAUACUAGGAGUCCAUGACGGUACCGUAAGAAUAAGCACCGGCUAACUACGUGCCAGCCGCCGCCGUAA
RNAcentral lists this ribosomal RNA (501 nucleotides) under uncultured bacterium. RNAcentral's name for it is "partial 16S ribosomal RNA". It matches the Rfam family "Bacterial small subunit ribosomal RNA", at positions 30 to 523 of the family's 1533-position model. The record is from RNAcentral.